This is a long non-coding RNA of Felis catus (domestic cat), 523 nucleotides long. RefSeq lists it as uncharacterized. The record is from RefSeq and is a predicted model, not a curated record. The transcript has 2 exons. Lineage: Eukaryota; Metazoa; Chordata; Mammalia; Carnivora; Felidae.
UCCCCUUCCCAUCGUAACCUGGCAAAACUUUUGAAUUCCCUGCAGCUCUGCCUUCAUGGGGAACACGUGACAUUAGGUAGGGUAGGGGUUGGAAUUAGUUAGAUGCCUCGGAUACCUCAUAAACCCCUACAGUGACCUGGCGCUUCCUUACCCUUCAACUGUUCCAAAUCUCAGGUUCCCCGAACUUCAAGGCAUGGGCGUGGGCAGAACGGGCCUUUCCCCUAGGCGUUGGGCUUUGGGGCUAUGCAGGCCUGUGGGGCCUUGGCGUGUCCAAACCUCCUGCAUUUUGUCCUGUGUGUCGGGGGUCCCCUGCAAUACGAUCUGAAAUGGGGACUACCAAGGCGGCGACAAUCAGUCUGCUUUGGAACCUUCAUGCAAACUACACAAAAGAUAUAAAAUAAGACAGGUUAUCUUAUGAACGGAUAAACAAAAAUGCUGGAUUUACCUGUGUGAAUGUGCCACAUUCUUCAGAGCACUUGAAAAUGGCUGGAAAGGUAAAGCAAGUAAACACGCUCUUCUGAGA